Molecule: non-coding RNA, 188 nt
Filed under: Hominimerdicola alba
Lineage: Bacteria; Bacillati; Bacillota; Clostridia; Eubacteriales; Oscillospiraceae
Description: Lysine riboswitch
Rfam family: Lysine riboswitch aptamer
About the family: Riboswitches are metabolite binding domains within certain messenger RNAs that serve as precision sensors for their corresponding targets. Allosteric rearrangement of mRNA structure is mediated by ligand binding, and this results in modulation of gene expression.
Source: RNAcentral
CAGAUAGAGGUGCGGUUGAAAAGAGUAGCACGGUCUGUCAUGCGGUAUUCCGCGGACUAAGUUUCCCAAGCCGAAUGACCGAUGUGAAAGGUAAAACUGCCGAAGCUGCGAUGUGGGGUAUCGUUUGCUGACUGAUGGUUUAAUAGGUCAUCGGUUGUCAUCAUGACUUUAUGAUGGAGUGCUAUCGG